Molecule: ribosomal RNA, 509 nt
Filed under: uncultured bacterium
Lineage: Bacteria
Description: bacterial SSU rRNA
Rfam family: Bacterial small subunit ribosomal RNA
Source: RNAcentral
UGGGGAAUCUUGGACAAUGGGGGCAACCCUGAUCCAGCCAUGCCGCGUGAGUGAUGAAGGCCUUAGGGUCGUAAAGCUCUUUCGCCUGUGAAGAUAAUGACGGUAGCAGGUAAAGAAACCCCGGCUAACUCCGUGCCAGCAGCCGCGGUAAUACGGAGGGGGUUAGCGUUGUUCGGAAUUACUGGGCGUAAAGCGCACGUAGGCGGACCAGAAAGUUGGGGGUGAAAUCCCGGGGGCUCAACCCCGGAACUGCCUCCAAAACUAUUGGUCUAGAGUUCGAGAGAGGUGAGUGGAAUUCCAAGUGUAGAGGUGAAAUUCGUAGAUAUUUGGAGGAACACCAGUGGCGAAGGCGGCUCACUGGCUCGAUACUGACGCUGAGGUGCGAAAGUGUGGGGAGCAAACAGGAUUAGAUACCCUGGUAGUCCACACCGUAAAACGAUGAAUGCCAGUCGUCGGGGUAGCAUGCUAUUCGGUGACACACCUAACGGAUUAAGCAUUCCGGCCUGGGG